GGACAAACAGAUCCUGGAGCUCCUGCAGGACAGGAUUUCACCAUCAACUCUGAUGCAAUUGUCUGGGCAAAAAAGAAGGUGCCCUUUGCCAGGUGUGGCAAGAAGAGGUGCCAGGCAGGACAGAGGAGAAGAGUUCCAGAGGGCCAGCAGGUUUGCUGCUACCAAUGUUCCCCUUGUCCAGAAGGGACCAUUUCUAAUCAGACAGAUGCAGCUUCCUGUGAUCCCUGUCCAGAAAACCAAUACCCCAACA
Pseudonaja textilis is the source of this 250-nucleotide non-coding RNA. The record is from RefSeq and is a predicted model, not a curated record. NCBI's taxonomy places the organism in Eukaryota, Metazoa, Chordata, Lepidosauria, Squamata, Elapidae.